CCUCUUGGCAGAUUUAAAUUGUUAGAGAAAUGAAACUCGUUUGAAAACAGUGGGCCCUGGCAGGCCCACUCCCAGGCAUUGCCCAGGACUCUGGGAACAGUUGUCAGCUUGCACGGCGUUUGUCUAGGUUGGGUUUGAUCUUACUCUCAGAUCCCAUAUGAACCUCGGAGAGGCAAACACGAGGCUCGUUUCAGAGACUCAAUUUAAGAUAGACUAACAUGCACAAUGGCACAAGGACCAGUGAAAACUUUCUGUACUUGGUGGUUUGUGGAGUUAAAAUAAGUCAUCAUCCCUCACCUCAAACCUGACUUUUGACCUGGAUUUCUUCUUUAUGUCUAACCAUCAGUCAUCCCAUUCAAUGGAAGAUGUCAAAGGCAUUUCUUCAAACCUGUUCAUUUCCAGAGCAAGGCUUUUCCAGAUGGGAAUUAGAAAGCAAGAUUUGAUAAAAUCUGCUUCCCUAUUACUCAAUACAAAGGAAUAUUACAGUAGCACUCCUGUUUCCGCUAAUCCGUUCAUUUCAGGUUUGAUUUACCUUUUUUGCCUUGAUCUCAAAUCCAUGUGGCUUUAUAGGAUUUAUAUUGCUAUAUUCAGGGUUUGAAUGAAUCACAGAGUAUGCAUUUUAAUAUGAUUUCUCUGAUUCCAAAGCCAGGAUUAACCUGUUGUUUUUUAUUAAAAAGAUUUUAUGUUUAGAUUUCAGAAGAGUGUUAAAUUUCUCUAGUUAUUUAUAAACAGACAAAAGAAAUUGCAUUUGUUGACUAUACUAAUGGAAGAAAGGGAAAAAAGGAAGCAUAAUUUUAUAGAGAACUUAAAAUAUUAAUACUUAAU
Long non-coding RNA from Mustela erminea (ermine), 825 nucleotides. RefSeq lists it as uncharacterized. The transcript is spliced from 3 exons. The record is from RefSeq and is a predicted model, not a curated record. NCBI's taxonomy places the organism in Eukaryota, Metazoa, Chordata, Mammalia, Carnivora, Mustelidae.